GAAUUUUGGACAAUGGGCGAAAGCCUGAUCCAGCAAUGCCGCGUGCAGGCUGAAGGCCUUCGGGUUGUAAACUGCCUUUGUACGGAACGAAAAGCUUUGGGUUAAUACCCUGGAGUCCUCACUGUACCGUACGAAUAAGCACCGGCUCACUCCGUCCCAGAAACCGCGGCAAUACGUAGGGUGCAAGCGUUCAUCGGAAUUACUGGGCGUAAAGCGUGCGCAGGCGGUUUUGUAAGACAGAGGUGAAAUCCCCGGGCUCAACCUGGGAACUGCCUUUGUGACUGCAAGGCUAGAGUACGGCAGAGGGGGGUGGAAUUCCGCGUGUAGCAGUGAAAUGCGUAGAUAUGCGGAGGAACACCGAUGGCGAAGGCAACCCCCUGGGCCUGUACUGACGCUCAUGCACGAAAGCGUGGGGAGCAAACA
Molecule: ribosomal RNA, 423 nt
Filed under: uncultured bacterium
Lineage: Bacteria
Description: partial 16S ribosomal RNA
Rfam family: Bacterial small subunit ribosomal RNA
Source: RNAcentral